GUAGGUGGCAAGCGUUGUCCGGAAUUAUUGGGCGUAAAGCGCGCGCAGGCGGUUCUUUAAGUCUGAUGUGAAAGCCCACGGGCUCAACCGUGGAGGGUCAUUGGAAACUGGAGAACUUGAGUACAGAAGAGGAAAGCGGAAUUCCACGUGUAGCGGUGAAAUGCGUAGAGAUGUGGAGGAACACCAGUGGCGAAGGCGGCUUUCUGGUCUGUAACUGACGCUGAGGCGCGAAAGCGUGGGGAGCAAACAGGAUUAGAUACCCUGGUAGUCCACGCCGUAAACGAUGAGUGCUAAGUGUUAGGGGGGUUUCCGCCCCUUAGUGCUGCAGCUAAUGCAUUAAGCACUCCGCCUGGGGAGUACGGCCGCAAGGCUG
This 373-nucleotide ribosomal RNA is filed under the name uncultured organism. RNAcentral's name for it is "partial 16S ribosomal RNA". It matches the Rfam family "Bacterial small subunit ribosomal RNA", at positions 527 to 896 of the family's 1533-position model. The record is from RNAcentral.